Molecule: ribosomal RNA, 599 nt
Filed under: bacterium enrichment culture clone T47x_B7_T3_C03
Lineage: Bacteria
Description: bacterial SSU rRNA
Rfam family: Bacterial small subunit ribosomal RNA
Source: RNAcentral
UGGCGGCAUGCUUAACACAUGCAAGUCGAACGAAGUCUUUCGAGACUUAGUGGCGGACGGGUGCGUAACGCGUAAGAACCUACCCUUGGGAGGGGGAUAACUAUCGGAAACGAUAGCUAAUACCCCAUAUGCUGAGGAGUGAAAGGGAGUGUAAACUCUCGCCUAGGGAUGGGCUUGCGUCUGAUUAGCUAGUUGGUGGGGUAAUAGCCUACCAAGGCCACGAUCAGUAGCUGGUCUGAGAGGAUGAUCAGCCACACUGGGACUGAGACACGGCCCAGACUCCUACGGGAGGCAGCAGUGAGGAAUUUUCCGCAAUGGGCGAAAGCCUGACGGAGCAAUGCCGCGUGGAGGAUUACAGCCCAUGGGUUUUAAACUCCUUUUCUCGGAGAAGAAGCAGUGACGGUAUCCGAGGAAUAAGCAUCGGCAAACUCCGUGCCAGCAGCCGCGGUAAUACGGGGGAUGCAAGCGUUAUCCGGAAUGAUUGGGCGUAAAGCGUCUGUAGGUGGUAGUUGAAGUCUGCUGUUCAAGACCAGGGCUUAACCCUGGACCGGCAGUGGAAACUCAGCUGCUUGAGUGCGGUAGGGGCAGAGGGAAUUCCC